ACUUCGGAGAAGCUCAAGUAUUCUGAGUGCCGAAGGGGCAAGAUUUUUAGACGAAAAAAUCGAAACUCUCAGGCAAAAGGACGAAGA
RNAcentral lists this non-coding RNA (87 nucleotides) under human gut metagenome. RNAcentral's name for it is "Glycine riboswitch". It matches the Rfam family "Glycine riboswitch aptamer", at positions 9 to 86 of the family's 94-position model. From Rfam's summary of the family: This family represents the bacterial glycine riboswitch. The record is from RNAcentral.